This 513-nucleotide non-coding RNA is filed under the name Ixodes scapularis (black-legged tick). RNAcentral describes it as "Eukaryotic large subunit ribosomal RNA". It matches the Rfam family "Eukaryotic large subunit ribosomal RNA", at positions 2944 to 3401 of the family's 3401-position model. The record is from Rfam by way of RNAcentral. Lineage: Eukaryota; Metazoa; Arthropoda; Arachnida; Ixodida; Ixodidae.
AAGGGAACGUGAGCUGGGUUUAGACCGUCGUGAGACAGGUUAGUUUUACCCUACUGGUGUGCGAAUACAACAGCGAACGCUAUCUUAACGGAAUUCCUGUGCAGUACGAGAGGAACCACAGGUACGAACCAAUGGCUCAAUACUAGUUCGACCGGACUUUGGUAUAACGCUACGUUCGUUGGAUUAUGCCUGAACGCCUCUAAGGUCGUAACCAAACCGAGCUGAUAGUGUCUCCUAUAGGUGGUCGGUGAUCAUAUGGCUAAAAACCCGCAAGACUUGCUAGCGUGAUCUCACGCUGGCAUCUUAUUGAUCUGAUCUCGAAGACAGAGCCCUUGCGCGGCGCCGUACAGCAAGUAUCGAGAUACUGGAACGCUGGCGGCGCUGCUCAGCAUCGAUAUAUGAUUUCGAUACCUGAGACCUCCUACAAACGAUAGGUUUACAGGCUGGGAGUUGCGAGUUGCAGAGAGGUGUACAUUUCGAUCCUCUCAGACUACCCUUGCUUGGAGGUUGUGU